RNAcentral lists this unclassified non-coding RNA (177 nucleotides) under uncultured Penicillium. RNAcentral describes it as "sequence contains ITS1". Lineage: Eukaryota; Fungi; Ascomycota; Eurotiomycetes; Eurotiales; Aspergillaceae. The record is from RNAcentral.
CCGAGUGCGGGCCCUCGCGGCCCAACCUCCCACCCUUGUCUCUCUACACCUGUUGCUUUGGCGGGCCCACUGGGGCUCCCUGGUCGCCGGGGGACACCCGUCCCCGGGCCCGCGCCCGCCGAAGCGCUUCGUGAACCCUGAUGAAGAAGGGCUGUCUGAGUACUAUGAAAAUUGUCA